AGACCCGAAACCCGGUGAUCUAGCCAUGGGCAGGUUGAAGGUUGGGUAACACUAACUGGAGGACCGAACCGACUAAUGUUGAAAAAUUAGCGGAUGACCUGUGGCUGGGGGUGAAAGGCCAAUCAAACCGGGAGAUAGCUGGUUCUCCCCGAAAGCUAUUUAGGUAGCGCCUCGUGAAUUCAUCUCCGGGGGUAGAGCACUGUUUCGGCUAGGGGGCCAUCCCGGCUUACCAACCCGAUGCAAACUGCGAAUACCGGAGAAUGUUAUCACGGGAGACACACGGCGGGUGCUAACGUCCGUCGUGAAGAGGGAAACAACCCAGACCGCCAGCUAAGGUCCCAAAGUCAUGGUUAAGUGGGAAACGAUGUGGGAAGGCCCAGACAGCCAGGAUGUUGGCUUAGAAGCAGCCAUCAUUUAAAGAAAGCGUAAUAGCUCACUGGUCGAGUCGGCCUGCGCGGAAGAUGUAACGGGGCUAAACCAUGCACCGAAGCUGCGGCAGCGACGCUGAUGCGUUGUUGGGUAGGGGAGCGUUCUGUAAGCCUGCGAAGGUGGCCUGUGAGGGUUGCUGGAGGUAUCAGAAGUGCGAAUGCUGACAUAAGUAACGAUAAAGCGGGUGAAAAGCCCGCUCGCCGGAAGACCAAGGGUUCCUGUCCAACGUUAAUCGGGGCAGGGUGAGUCGACCCCUAAGGCGAGGCCGAAAGGCGUAGUCGAUGGGAAACGGGUUAAUAUUCCCGUACUUGGUGUUACUGCGAAGGGGGGACGGAGAAGGCUAUGUUGGCCGGGCGACGGUUGUCCCGGUUUAAGCGUGUAGGUGUGUGUUCCAGGUAAAUCCGGUUCACUUUAACACUGAGGCGUGAUGACGAGGCACUACGGUGCUGAAGCAACAAAUGCCCUGCUUCCAGGAAAAGCCUCUAAGCAUCAGGUAACAUCAAAUCGUACCCCAAACCGACACAGGUGGUCAGGUAGAGAAUACCAAGGCGCUUGAGAGAACUCGGGUGAAGGAACUAGGCAAAAUGGUGCCGUAACUUCGGGAGAAGGCACGCUGACACGUAGGUGAAGUGAUUUACUCAUGGAGCUGAAGUCAGUCGAAGAUACCAGCUGGCUGCAACUGUUUAUUAAAAACACAGCACUGUGCAAACACGAAAGUGGACGUAUACGGUGUGACGCCUGCCCGGUGCCGGAAGGUUAAUUGAUGGGGUCAGCGCAAGCGAAGCUCCUGAUCGAAGCCCCGGUAAACGGCGGCCGUAACUAUAACGGUCCUAAGGUAGCGAAAUUCCUUGUCGGGUAAGUUCCGACCUGCACGAAUGGCGUAAUGAUGGCCAGGCUGUCUCCACCCGAGACUCAGUGAAAUUGAACUCGCUGUGAAGAUGCAGUGUACCCGCGGCAAGACGGAAAGACCCCGUGAACCUUUACUAUAGCUUGACACUGAACAUUGAGCCUUGAUGUGUAGGAUAGGUGGGAGGCUUUGAAGUGUGGACGCCAGUCUGCAUGGAGCCGGCCUUGAAAUACCACCCUUUAAUGUUUGAUGUUCUAACGUGGACCCGUGAUCCGGGUUGCGGACAGUGUCUGGUGGGUAGUUUGACUGGGGCGGUCUCCUCCUAAAGAGUAACGGAGGAGCACGAAGGUUGGCUAAUCCUGGUCGGACAUCAGGAGGUUAGUGCAAUGGCAUAAGCCAGCUUGACUGCGAGCGUGACGGCGCGAGCAGGUGCGAAAGCAGGUCAUAGUGAUCCGGUGGUUCUGAAUGGAAGGGCCAUCGCUCAACGGAUAAAAGGUACUCCGGGGAUAACAGGCUGAUACCGCCCAAGAGUUCAUAUCGACGGCGGUGUUUGGCACCUCGAUGUCGGCUCAUCACAUCCUGGGGCUGAAGUAGGUCCCAAGGGUAUGGCUGUUCGCCAUUUAAAGUGGUACGCGAGCUGGGUUUAGAACGUCGUGAGACAGUUCGGUCCCUAUCUGCCGUGGGCGCUGGAGAACUGAGGGGGGCUGCUCCUAGU
RNAcentral lists this ribosomal RNA (1991 nucleotides) under Salmonella enterica subsp. enterica serovar Give. RNAcentral's name for it is "partial 23S ribosomal RNA". It matches the Rfam family "Bacterial large subunit ribosomal RNA", at positions 711 to 2682 of the family's 2925-position model. The record is from RNAcentral. Lineage: Bacteria; Pseudomonadati; Pseudomonadota; Gammaproteobacteria; Enterobacterales; Enterobacteriaceae.